AAAGCCGCCACGGGAGAGACUGGCCACCACCAUUUGGUAGGUCAGCGCCGAAGGAGCAACCGCCCCGGAAUCUCUCAGGCAAAUGGACCGUGAUGGCGAC
This 100-nucleotide non-coding RNA is filed under the name Magnetovibrio blakemorei. RNAcentral's name for it is "Glycine sequence". It matches the Rfam family "Glycine riboswitch aptamer". From Rfam's summary of the family: This family represents the bacterial glycine riboswitch. Glycine riboswitches usually consist of two metabolite-binding aptamers domains with similar structures in tandem. The record is from Rfam by way of RNAcentral. Lineage: Bacteria; Pseudomonadati; Pseudomonadota; Alphaproteobacteria; Rhodospirillales; Magnetovibrionaceae.